This 497-nucleotide ribosomal RNA is filed under the name uncultured bacterium. RNAcentral describes it as "partial 16S ribosomal RNA". It matches the Rfam family "Bacterial small subunit ribosomal RNA", at positions 28 to 507 of the family's 1533-position model. The record is from RNAcentral.
GAUGAACGCUGGCGGCGUGCCUAAUACAUGCAAGUCGAGCGAACAGACGAGGAGCUUGCUCCUCUGACGUUAGCGGCGGACGGGAGAGUAACACGUGGAUAACCUACCUAUAAGACUGGGAUAACUUCGGGAAACCGGAGCUAAUACCGGAUAAUAUAUUGAACCGCAUGGUUCAAUAGUGAAAGACGGUUUUGCUGUAACUUCUAGAUGGAUCCGCGCCGCAUUAGCUAGUUGGUAAGGUAACGGCUUACCAAGGCAACGAUGCGUAGCCGACCUGAGAGGGUGAUCGGCCGCACUGGAACUGAGACACGGUCCAGACUCCUACGGGAGGCAGCAGUAGGGAAUCUUCCGCAGUGGGCGAAAGCCUGACGGAGCAGCGCCGCGUGAGUGAUGAAGGUCUUCGGAUCGUAAAACUCUGUUAUUAGGGAAGAACAAAUGUGUAAGUAACUAUGCACGUCUUGACGGUACCUAAUCAGAAAGCCACGGCUAACUACGUG